UGGGGAAUUUUGGACAAUGGGGGAAACCCUGAUCCAGCCAUCCCGCGUGUGCGAUGAAGGCCUUCGGGUUGUAAAGCACUUUUGGCAGGAAAGAAACGUCAUGAGUUAAUACCCCGUGAAACUGACGGUACCUGCAGAAUAAGCACCGGCUAACUACGUGCCAGCAGCCGCGGUAAGACGUAGGGUGCAAGCGUUAAUCGGAAUUACUGGGCGUAAAGCGUGCGCAGGCGGUUCGGAAAGAAAGAUGUGAAAUCCCAGAGCUCAACUUUGGAACUGCAUUUUUAACUACCGGGCUAGAGUGUGUCAGAGGGAGGUGGAAUUCCGCGUGUAGCAGUGAAAUGCGUAGAUAUGCGGAGGAACACCGAUGGCGAAGGCAGCCUCCUGGGAUAACACUGACGCUCAUGCACGAAAGCGUGGGGAGCAAACAGG
Molecule: ribosomal RNA, 429 nt
Filed under: Acidobacteriota bacterium
Lineage: Bacteria; Pseudomonadati; Acidobacteriota
Description: Acidobacteria bacterium partial 16S ribosomal RNA
Rfam family: Bacterial small subunit ribosomal RNA
Source: RNAcentral